GUUGUCUGUUUGAGUAAUGAGUGUAGAAACCUAUAAUGGAGGCGUGAUGGCUGAUGCAAUCAUUUUCCACUGAUGAAGGUUUUGAUGGCCACCUGUAAUGAACAGCCCCAUCUGAUUUAAUCACUGUGCAAUGACCGUGAACUGUACAGUUACCUCCGUGUGUCACAGGAAGACUCUUUUGACUUAAGCACCCUUCCAUGGUCAUGAGGUUUCUGGUUGCCUCUGUGUGUUAGAAGCUUGGAGACCAAUGCCUUCUGCUGUGAUCGCGUUCUCCACAGUUGCCUCUGGGUAGGAGCCUGGACACUAAUAGAAAAUGGAUGCACUGGAGCUGAUUUAAACAUUCUUUGGUGGUCACAAGAUGUAUAGCUGCCUCUGUAUGUUUGGCGCAUGGAAAAAAAUAUGAGUUUUUGUGGACAUACACUCUUUAUUUGAAAAGUAUGAAAUAUAAUCCAAGAAAGCCAGCCAUGGCUCAGUGAUAAAUAUGGAAUUGAUAUGAAACAUUAUAUUGAUUAAUCACCUUUGAGGAUGAUUAAUAAAAGAGAGAAAGUGAUUCUAUAUAGAGAUGCAGGACUAUUUCAGGCUCAUUCAUGAUCUAGGUUUUUGUGCUUCAUGGUUAUUUUAUUAUCAUCAAUAAAAAGAAAAAA
This 644-nucleotide long non-coding RNA is filed under the name Homo sapiens (human). RNAcentral's name for it is "maternally expressed 8, small nucleolar RNA host gene". The record is from RNAcentral. Lineage: Eukaryota; Metazoa; Chordata; Mammalia; Primates; Hominidae.